UGUGAGAUAUGUCAUGCUAGCAGUUUGAGUAGCAUAUUUCUGCUCUCUCAUGACAUUGUUGGCUAGCUGCUGCAUAAAUCCCAAGCACCCCUACGACAAGGCGGACUAUUUAAACGGCCAGGCCCCGCCCACUCUUUUGGUCGACUCUGCUCAUUUAGAAACUUAAGGGAAAAAAAGUGAAAAACUUCGAGGUAACUUGCCUGUAACUGCUUGUUGCUAAUGCUGCUGUUUAUGUAGCCUUUUCAUAAACAGGAUACUCUGCCAACGUCUUCAACGAGUUUCCUGUUUUGUGUGGAAAACUAAGGGAGUCUUCUAAAAGAGGGAUUUAUCAUCAACUGUGAUACCAGGGAUAUGCUUCACUUCAACAAGGUCCACACAUGCAUCUGAAUAUGCACCUACCCUCCCAUCCUGUGCUGUCGGCCCGGCGUGCAUGCCCCUUGCAGACAGUGUUUUAUUAUUCUUGACAGAGUUCACCGAACACAUCUGGUCAGAGGAUAAGAAGGGAUGGAGGGAUGGUGCCAAGAGGCAGAGAGGUGAGUGAGGAGCCAAUGGAGAGGGGUCUGAGCAGGGGGAGGACGAGGACCUACGACCAUCCAUCAUAACCGUCCCUCAUGAGGAAUGCCAGCUCCUUCAAACUAGGGCCAACCUUACUUUUGCUGACCUUUGACCCCUUGGCUCUAAACCGAGAAGACUAUUAGAGCCAUCAGGAAUGAGAUGGAGGGGAUCUGUUAGUGUUGUUCGUAGGUAUUUUAAGUAGUAUGUUUACGUUUAUUGUGACAAAGACCUCUAGCUGCCGUGUGAAUUAUGACUCUUGUCUGUUAGGAGCUAAGGUGGAAGUAGCGUGAUGUAGCCACAGAACUUCAUAGGGAGGAGGUCGGUGUGGAUGGAUGGGUUGACAAAAGGUGUGACUAGGAUAUGGGAGACCGCGGUUUGUUUCCUGUUUUUCAGUCAUCAUUGGUUUCUUUUGACCAUGAGAAAAUUUUUCUCUCAACCAUUGACAAUGAAGAUUCCCUAACUAAGUAGUUUAGCUUAACCAUAGCUGUGUAAGAUCAGAAAUCGCUAAUAUGAAUCUUUUUGUAAGUUACUUGCAGUGUUUGGCGGUAACGCAUUGCUUAGUAACUUUUAAUAGUGAUGUAAUUGCUUCUUUCAGUAAAGCAUGGUGUAAGACAUUCCGAUUUAAAGUUCAGUAAUUACAUUACAGUCACUAAUCCCAGUGACGCUUUGUUACUUUGGUGGUGGAUUUGUUUGCUAUCUUACUGGGAGUUUGAUAGAGGCUUGAUUCUCUGUGCGUUCAGUGGACAGACUGCUGCUGAGGCUGCGUAACAAAUGUAAUGUAACAAGCAAUGUAAUAAUUACUAUUGCUGUCGAUUGUUGUUAGUAAAAUAAUGUAUUUACUUUU
Molecule: long non-coding RNA, 1399 nt
Organism: Siniperca chuatsi (mandarin fish)
Lineage: Eukaryota; Metazoa; Chordata; Actinopteri; Centrarchiformes; Sinipercidae
Exons: 2
Source: RefSeq, a predicted model, not a curated record